UACGUAGGGUGCGAGCGUUGUCCGGAAUUACUGGGCGUAAAGAGCUCGUAGGUGGUUUGUCGCGUUGUUCGUGAAAACCGGGGGCUUAACCCUCGGCGUGCGGGCGAUACGGGCAGACUAGAGUACUGCAGGGGAGACUGGAAUUCCUGGUGUAGCGGUGGAAUGCGCAGAUAUCAGGAGGAACACCGGUGGCGAAGGCGGGUCUCUGGGCAGUAGCUGACGCUGAGGAGCGAAAGCGUGGGGAGCGAACAGG
RNAcentral lists this ribosomal RNA (253 nucleotides) under uncultured bacterium. Its description in RNAcentral is "partial 16S ribosomal RNA". It matches the Rfam family "Bacterial small subunit ribosomal RNA", at positions 524 to 776 of the family's 1533-position model. The record is from RNAcentral.